Molecule: ribosomal RNA, 468 nt
Filed under: uncultured bacterium
Lineage: Bacteria
Description: partial 16S ribosomal RNA
Rfam family: Bacterial small subunit ribosomal RNA
Source: RNAcentral
GACGAACGCUGGCGGCGUGCUUAACACAUGCAAGUCGAACGGAAAGGCCCUGCUUUUGUGGGGUGCUCGAGUGGCGAACGGGUGAGUAACACGUGAGUAACCUGCCCUUGACUUUGGGAUAACUUCAGGAAACUGGGGCUAAUACCGGAUAGGAGCUCCUGCUGCAUGGUGGGGGUUGGAAAGUUUCGGCGGUUGGGGAUGGACUCGCGGCUUAUCAGCUUGUUGGUGGGGUAGUGGCUUACCAAGGCUUUGACGGGUAGCCGGCCUGAGAGGGUGACCGGCCACAUUGGGACGGAGAUGCGGCCCAGACUCCUACGGGAGGCAGCAGUGGGGAAUAUUGCACAAUGGGCGGAAGCCUGAUGCAGCAACGCCGCGUGCGGGAUGACGGCCUUCAGGUUGUAAACCGCUUUCGCCUGUGACGAAGCGUGAGUGACGGUAAUGGGUAAAGAAGCACCGGCUAACUACGUG